AAUCAAACUUAAGAAACUUGGUGGGCAAGCAAGUGAUGAGAUCAUGAUUUACUUGCACGGGUCUUGACGGCGGUGACUUGCGGCGACUAAGUCAAUGACGGCAUGUCUCUCCGGUGGGCUGCAACAACCCAACGUCAAGAGGUGGUGAUGGGACGGUGGCACCAAAGUCACGGUUGUGUGUCCGACGUGACGAGGUGGCUAGGACGACAAGCAAGACAGUGACCUCGAGGCAAUGAUUCCAUCCUUUGAUCAACAUCAAUAUCAACAUCAAGAGAAGAAUAAAAUGGAGAGAAGGGAACAUGGAGAUCAUGAAUUAGGAAGAAGAAGAAGAAGGUGGUGUGGAGAAGAGUGCUGGCGGCUCACGUUUAGGAAGAAUAAGACAAUUAUAUAGUUAGGUAAAAUAAUUGGUUUACUAAGGGUUUUGUUCAAGAAAUAAUUAAAACUAAACCAAACCAUUAUUUAUUAAAACCGGAUUAUCGGGUCACGGUCGUUACAAUUCUUCCCCACUUAACCGGAAUUCGCCCCGAAUUCCAUGAAGAACCGGGAAAGAACUUCAACGGCUAUGAAAGAAAGAAGAACACAAGAUAAAGCAAACAACAAAACAAAUUGAAACUUGGUAUUCUCUUGCAAAAAUAAAAGAGUUAGUAACGCUAACAACUAACCAAAUGAUACUGGACAAAAGGGUGUCACCUUUUUUUUUUUUUUUUUUUAACUCUCAAUCCCAAAACAUUGAAAAUUGUUGAAAUCCGAGUCCCAUAAAUCGCCAUCCCGGGUCAGAGCCGGGACGGAACCCCGCUCUGAUACCAAAUUGUAACACCCGUAUUUUCCAAAAUAAAAUAAACAAAUAAAAUUCUGAAAUCUCCAUUUAUUACUUCUCAAAAGUUCAACUCCAAAGUCGUAAAUCCAAUAAAUAGCCAUAAAUCCAAAUAACAUAAUAAAUCUCGAGAAUAUCGAUAAAAGCAUAAAAUCCGCAAGUUUGAAAAAGAAAGAAAUAAAACUCCCAAAGCACCAAUCCGAUAGUAAUCACUCCUGCCCGUCGGUCUCACCUGAAAGGGGGGAGAAAGAGGGGUGAGUAACAGGGGAGUUACUCCGUGAGGUAUGAGAUGCUAAACCACAAACCACUGACUCAGUACAUAGCACUACGACUAUGUAGGCCUAGCUCUAGCAUGAAACAAACACGGUGUCUAAUACACCACAUAAAACAUCAAAUGCGCUGAUAGUGCAUAACUAGAUCACACACCCCGCAUUCUCCUUAUACGGAUAUAAAUAUAUAACUCUAUGCGCCGCUAGUACAAGAGUCCAUCCUUGUACCCCGCAAUCACCUAUGCGCCGCUAGUACAAACGUCUUUGUACCCUGCAAUCCCUCAUACAAUGCGCCGCUAGCAUAGACGUCCAUAUGCCCCGCAAUCUCCAUACAAUGCGCCGCUAACACAAACGUCUCUGUGUCCCGCAAUCUCCACACAAUGCGCUGUUAGCACAACAUCUUUGUGCCCCGCAAUCUCAUAACAGACUUAUGUAUAUACAUAUAUAAAUAACAGUUUUUAAUUCAUUCAAUUCAAUCAACCGUUGAAUCCUCUAUUAUCCUAUUUCCGGUUUAACAAUCAAUAAUAGUAAUAAACAAACAAGACUCUCAAACAGACUCAAUUCACAGAGACGGAUCAUGUUUCGAAACUAAACUUUCCAUAAUAGUAGUACUAAACUAGCUCAGGAUUUAAUGGGAUAGCCCUCACCUUAGCCAAUAUCGGAGAACCGGAAACAUAAAAGAAACCAAUGAUUGGAAAGGCUUAGACCGGCUUCACCUUAGCGCAUAAAGGAAACGAUCGGAAAAAGAAACAAAAAGAGACAGUUAGGGCUAGGGUUUACAGUAACUUCCUGCUCAAGAAAUAAACAAAGUCACUUAAACCUUUACGCAUGGGUUCACGGCUCAUGACGUUGGCUCAGAAAUUGGUACAAGUGAACAAUCAAACUUAAGAAACUUGGUGGGCAAGCAAGUGAUGAGAUCAUGAUUUACUUGCACGGGUCUUGACGGCGGUGACUUGCGGCGACUAAGUCAAUGACGGCAUGUCUCUCCGGUGGGCUGCAACAACCCAACGUCAAGAGGUGGUGAUGGGACGGUGGCACCAAAGUCACGGUUGUGUGUCCGACGUGACGAGGUGGCUAGGACGACAAGCAAGACAGUGACCUCGAGGCAAUGAUUCCAUCCUUUGAUCAACAUCAAUAUCAACAUCAAGAGAAGAAUAAAAUGGAGAGAAGGGAACAUGGAGAUCAUGAAUUAGGAAGAAGAAGAAG
RNAcentral lists this long non-coding RNA (2289 nucleotides) under Brassica rapa (field mustard). RNAcentral's name for it is "long non-coding RNA (BRAP_LNC002312)". The record is from RNAcentral. Lineage: Eukaryota; Viridiplantae; Streptophyta; Magnoliopsida; Brassicales; Brassicaceae.